RNAcentral lists this unclassified non-coding RNA (704 nucleotides) under Hevea brasiliensis (rubber tree). The record is from RNAcentral. Lineage: Eukaryota; Viridiplantae; Streptophyta; Magnoliopsida; Malpighiales; Euphorbiaceae.
GUUACUAACCAUAAUAUUGGCAUGUAUACGUAAUACAUUUAUGAAUCACUGGCUAGGUUUCUACCAAUUUCAUUGAAAAGCAUGACUGCUACAAAUUACACAGUGAACUGCUUGGCUGUUUCCAUUUAACUUCAACUCCAAUUGUUGAAGAUUGAUUAACCCAAGAAGAGAUUAAGCGGUGAGCAAUUGCAAAGGGGCCAGGGAAAAACAUUGGAGCAAGCUAACCACUUUCUACAUUAAAAUCUGCCGAUAAAUUCUGUCCUUUCUCGACACCCCUGCACAUCUGAUCAACCUUGGCAGCUGCUGUUCUUUGUGCCUUCUCAUAUUCUGCAACCAUCAAUGCUUUUUGGACGUCUUCUCUGCUGUGCCAUGUAGCAUCUUCCAACUCUUCCUUGUCUACAUUUAUUUCAAGUGAUUUUGCAUAGGCAAAGAAACCCACCAUGAGCUGGCAUGGCAUGCUAUUUGGGCCAACUGGCCAUGGCUGGGAACUAUGAUAGACAACUUCUCCCACUUCAAUACCAGUCUCCUCCCAUGUUUCUCUCCUAAUUGCCUCUUCUAAGCUUUCUCCUGGCUCUAUGAAACCAGCUAAGCAACUCCACAUUCGGGGUACAAAUCUUGACUGUCUGCUUAGAAGGACACGGUCAUUUUCUCUAUCAAUAACCAACAUGAUCACCACAUGACCCGCAAUAGCCAAAUCCCCCAUG